GAGUGGAUCGCAGGGUAUGUGGAGAUAGAGAGCAAGAGAGACCAGCUGGAAGGGUGUUGCAACAGUUCAGGUGAGAAACGACUUCAGGCCGAGCUCAGAAGGUAUUGGUGGAGAUAGCAAGGACUUGAUCCUUGAUGGGGGUAGGGAAGAGGAGGAAGAAUGAGGAAUGAUUGUGAAUACACAGAUGGCAAUGGCGGUUUUCUUAACUCAAAGAGAAAACACCUAAGGAGGAAACACAACCAUGGAAGUGAUGUUAGACAAGGGCAAAUUCAAGCGAUUUUCUUACUCAAGUUCAAAAUGGGUCAUAAAGCAGUGCAGACAACUUACAACAUCAAUAGCAAGUUUGGCCCAGAAACUGCUAACGGACAUACAGUACAGUAGUGGUUCAAGAAGUUUUGCAAAGGAGACAAGAGCCUUGAAGAUGAGGAGUGUAGUGGCUGGCCGUCAGAAGUUGACAAUGACCAAUUGAGAGGAAUCAUCCAAGCUGAUUAUUUUUCAACUACACAAGAAGUUGCUGAAGAACUCAACGUUGACCAUUCUAUGUCGUUCAGCAUUUGAAGCAAAUUAGAAAGGUGAAAAAGCUCGAUAAGUGCAUCCCUCAUGAGCUGAGCAGAAAAAAGAAUAGUUGUUUUUGAAGCGUCAUCUUCUCUUAUUCUAUGCAACAACAAACCAUUUCUUGAUCGGAUUGUGGCGUGCAAAGAAAAGUGGAUUUUAUAUGACAACUGGUGACAAUCAGCUCAGUGGUUGGGCCUAGGAGAAGCUCCAAAGCACUUCCCAAAGCCAAACUUGCACCAAAAAAAAUGUCAUGGUCACUGUUUGGUGGUCUGCUGCCAGUCUGAUACACUACAGCUUUCUGAAUCUCAGUGAAACCGUUACAUCUGAGAAGUAUGCUCAGCAAAUUCAUGAGAUGCACCAAAAACUGCAAUGCCUGCAGCCAGCAUUCGUCAACAAAAAGGGCCCAAUUUUUCUCCAUGACAAUGCCCAGCUGCUUGUCACACAACCAACACUUCAAAAGUUGAAUGAAUUGGGCUACAAAGUUUUGCCUCAUCUGCCAUAUUCACCUGACCUCUUGCCAACCGACUACCACUUCUUCAAGCAUCUUGACAACAUUUUGCAGGGAAAAUGCUUCCACAACCAGCAGGGUGAAGAAAAUGCUUUCCAAGAGUUUGUUGAACCCUGAAUCAUGGAUUUUAAUGCUACAGGAAAAAGUAAACUUAUUUCUCAUUGGCAAAAAUGUGUUGAUUGUCAAUGGUUCCUAUUUUGAUUAAUAAAGAUGUGUUUGAGCCUA
Homo sapiens (human) is the source of this 1288-nucleotide long non-coding RNA. Lineage: Eukaryota; Metazoa; Chordata; Mammalia; Primates; Hominidae. The record is from Ensembl.